AACGCUGGCGGCGUGCCUAACACAUGCAAGUCGAACGCGAAAGCCCCGCAAGGGGUGAGUAGAGUGGCAAACGGGUGAGUAACACGUGGGUGAUCUGCCUCAGAGUGGGGGAUAACGACCCGAAAGGGUCGCUAAUACCGCAUAACAUCCUGCCUUUGGAUAGGUGGAGAUCAAAGUUGGGGAUCCGCAAGGACCUGGCGCUUGGAGAGGAGCCCGCGGCCGAUUAGCUAGUUGGUGAGGUAACGGCUCACCAAGGCGACGAUCGGUAUCCGGCCUGAGAGGGCGGACGGACACACUGGGACUGAGACACGGCCCAGACUCCUACGGGAGGCAGCAGUGGGGAAUUGUUCGCAAUGGGCGCAAGCCUGACGACGCAACGCCGCGUGGAGGACGAAGAUUUUCGGAUCGUAAACUCCUUUCGAUCGGGAAGAACAGCUUUCGGGUUAAUAGCCCGGGAGUCUGACGGUACCGAGAGAAGAAGCCCCGGC
RNAcentral lists this ribosomal RNA (488 nucleotides) under Acidobacteria bacterium KF4-18/2. RNAcentral's name for it is "bacterial SSU rRNA". It matches the Rfam family "Bacterial small subunit ribosomal RNA", at positions 32 to 497 of the family's 1533-position model. Lineage: Bacteria; Pseudomonadati; Acidobacteriota. The record is from RNAcentral.